GACAGAGGGGGCAAGCGUUGCUCGGAAUCACUGGGCGUAAAGGGCGCGUAGGCGGGAUGGCAAGUCAGUCGUGAAAUCUCUCGGCUCAACCGAGAAACGUCGGCUGAUACUGCCGUUCUUGAGGGAUGCAGAGGAGACUGGAAUUCCCGGUGUAGCGGUGAAAUGCGUAGAGAUCGGGAGGAACACCAGAGGCGAAGGCGGCGACCUGGACAGGUACUGACACUCAACUACGAAAGCGUGGGGAGCAAACAGG
RNAcentral lists this ribosomal RNA (253 nucleotides) under uncultured bacterium. Its description in RNAcentral is "partial 16S ribosomal RNA". It matches the Rfam family "Bacterial small subunit ribosomal RNA", at positions 524 to 776 of the family's 1533-position model. The record is from RNAcentral.